GACGAACGCUGGCGGCGUGCUUAACACAUGCAAGUCGAGCGGUAAGGCCCUUUCGGGGGUACGACGAGCGGCGAACGGGUGAGUAACACGUGGGUGACCUGCCCUCAGCUCUGGGAUAAGCCCGGGAAACUGGGUCUAAUACCGGAUAUGACUCCAUGACGCAUGUUGUGGGGUGGAAANCCUUGUGCGGCUGAGGAUGGGCCCGCGGCCUAUCAGCUUGUUGGUGGGGUGAUGGCCACCAAGGCGACGACGGGUAGCCGGCCUGAGAGGGCGACCGGCCACACUGGGGACUGAGAUACGGCCCCAGACUCCUACGGGAGGCAGCAGGUGGGGAAUCUUGCGCAAUGGGCGAAANCCUGACGCAGCGACGCCGCGUGAGGGAUGA
RNAcentral lists this ribosomal RNA (385 nucleotides) under uncultured bacterium. RNAcentral's name for it is "bacterial SSU rRNA". It matches the Rfam family "Bacterial small subunit ribosomal RNA", at positions 28 to 411 of the family's 1533-position model. The record is from RNAcentral.